UAAAGAAUUAUAAUUUUAAGUCUGAUCUGCUCCAUGAUUAUAAUUAAAUAGCUGCAGAAUUUUAACUGUACAAAGGUAGCAUAAUCAAUAGUUUUUUAAUUAAAAGCUGGAAUGAAUGAUUUGAUAAGGUAAAAAUUGUCUCAAUUUUUAUGAAGUUAGAAUUUUUUUUUUAGUAAAAAUACUGAAGUGAAAUUAAAAGACGAGAAGACCCUAUAGAUUUUUAUAUUUAUUAAAUAAUUAGAAUAAAUUGAUAAUUAUAAUUAUUAUUUAAAAUAUUAGGUUGGGGUAAUUAUUAAAUUUUAUAAAUUUUAAUAUAUUUUAAACUAUAAUUAUUGGAUUAAUGAAUUUAAUAAGUUAAAUUAAAGAAUAAAAUACCUUAGGGAUAACAGCGUAAUUUUUUUGGAAAGAUCAUAUUUAUAAAAAAGUUUGCGACCUCGAUGUUGAAUUAGGAAAUAAUUUUAAUGUAGAAGUUAAAAAAUUUUGGUCUGUUCGACCAUUAAAAUCCUACGUGAUCUGA
This 517-nucleotide ribosomal RNA is filed under the name Priotomis golbachi. RNAcentral describes it as "partial 16S large subunit ribosomal RNA". The stretch from base 382 to 517 matches the Rfam family "Archaeal large subunit ribosomal RNA", at positions 2542 to 2677 of the family's 2987-position model. The record is from RNAcentral. Lineage: Eukaryota; Metazoa; Arthropoda; Insecta; Hymenoptera; Ichneumonidae.